This 541-nucleotide long non-coding RNA is filed under the name Betta splendens (Siamese fighting fish). RNAcentral's name for it is "lncRNA (ENSBSLG00000003931.1)". The record is from RNAcentral. Lineage: Eukaryota; Metazoa; Chordata; Actinopteri; Anabantiformes; Osphronemidae.
GUGAUCACUAACGCUGCUGCACUUGUGCUUGUAUCUGGAUUUGUGCUUGGACUCGCUCUGAGGAAGAAACACUGCAGGCAGCGUGCAGAGGCCGGCCGCCGUGGAGUUCCUGCACAUGGGGUUUUCUGCUCUUCGCUGCUUACAACAAAUGGCGAAGCUGAACCAGGGGACUUGUAUGUGAAUCUUCAGCAGCUCUCAGCUGAUGUCCUCCAGAAGUGUGGCAGGAAAACGAAUCCAGGCAGAAACACUAAGGGAAGUAGGACUGGAAGAGACCCUGAUCUAAUCUACAUGAACAUCUGAAUGAAACUCGUCGUCCGUAGAACCAUAUUUCCUGUGAGGGAAUGUAUGUACAGUAACCUUGUGAUAAAAAGAUACUGAUGAUGAACAUGAUUUUCAUGUUCUAUGUUGUAUAAACAUAAUGAAUGUAAAAUGGUUAAAAUGAUUUAUUGCAUUUUCCUGUUCAGUUUACGCUUUGCUGUCAGUUUGUACUCAAAGAACGAUGCAUUUGGGAUUUUCUGCCUUUUAAUAGUAGCUUUUAAAU